AUACGGAGGGUGCAAGCGUUGUUCGGAAUUACUGGGCGUAAAGCGCGCGUAGGCGGCUUUGUAAGUCGGAUGUGAAAGCCCUGGGCUCAACCUGGGAAUUGCACUCGAUACUGCAGAGCUAGAGUAUGGUAGAGGGAAGUGGAAUUUCCGGUGUAGCGGUGAAAUGCGUAGAUAUCGGAAGGAACACCAGUGGCGAAGGCGACUUCCUGGGCCAAUACUGACGCUGAGGUGCGAAAGCGUGGGGAGCAAACAGGAUUAGAAACCCCAGUAGUCC
RNAcentral lists this ribosomal RNA (274 nucleotides) under uncultured bacterium. RNAcentral describes it as "partial 16S ribosomal RNA". It matches the Rfam family "Bacterial small subunit ribosomal RNA", at positions 523 to 796 of the family's 1533-position model. The record is from RNAcentral.